RNAcentral lists this long non-coding RNA (563 nucleotides) under Salmo salar (Atlantic salmon). RNAcentral's name for it is "lncRNA (ENSSSAG00000114255.1)". Lineage: Eukaryota; Metazoa; Chordata; Actinopteri; Salmoniformes; Salmonidae. The record is from RNAcentral.
UGAUCAGACAGGCACUUCCUCAUCAGUGGACACACCAGACUCUCCUUUAUCAGUCAUACAAAGAGAAUGUUCUAAUACCUCCCAUCGAAAAGAGAGCUGGCCCAAGCAAGCACAGGUUAAACCUGAAGCAUGAGGACUUGCAGCGAGUGGUAAACUUCAACAACUACGCAGAGGAUAAUGCAAUAGUAUUACCAGGAUGCCACCCAGGACACAAACACUUUGGUGGAAAGCUGCUGCCAUCCCAUGUGACAAAAGCAGCAGUAUGGUGUCUCUACAAGGAAUCAAUGACAACACUUGCAAAUAAUCUGGACCUUCACUUCCUGAUCACAGGCCACACCAAGUUUGCCCCGACUGGUGCAGGGCCUCAUCAAGCAGUGCUUCAGAAAGACCAGAGUGAAUACUUUGUCUGAGAUUGCUGGUGUUGUGAAGGACAGCACUGUGACAGGGGUAAACAUCCCAGUGGUGGUCCGCCUGUUAUCGAAACCUGGAGGUGGUCUUGAGAAGAGCGGCCUGGGCUCUCUUCCAGUUGCGGCGACAGCAACGGACGAACAUCUGGGCAGAAG